This 257-nucleotide ribosomal RNA is filed under the name uncultured bacterium. RNAcentral's name for it is "partial 16S ribosomal RNA". It matches the Rfam family "Bacterial small subunit ribosomal RNA", at positions 524 to 776 of the family's 1533-position model. The record is from RNAcentral.
UACGAAGGGGGGCUAGCGUUGUUCGGAAUCACUGGGCGUAAAGCGCACGUAGGCGGAUCUUUAAGUCAGGGGGUGAAAUCCCGAGGCUCAACCUCGGAACUGCCCUUUGAUACUGGGGGAUCUCGAGUCCGGGAGAGGUGAGUGGAACUGCGAGUGUAGAGGUGAAAUUCGUAGAUAUUCGCAAGAACACCAGUGGCGAAGGCGGCUCACUGGCCCGGAACUGACGCUGAGGUGCGAAAGCGUGGGGAGCAAACAGG